This is a small nuclear RNA of Cercocebus atys (sooty mangabey), 155 nucleotides long. Its record names the gene U1. It matches the Rfam family "U1 spliceosomal RNA". Rfam says of the family: U1 is a small nuclear RNA (snRNA) component of the spliceosome (involved in pre-mRNA splicing). Lineage: Eukaryota; Metazoa; Chordata; Mammalia; Primates; Cercopithecidae. The record is from Ensembl.
ACACUUACUUGGCAGGGCAAAUGCUUUAUGGUCACCAAAGUGGUUCAUCCUAAAGCUGAGGCUCAUCCGUUGCACUCCUGAUACGCUGUUUUCUGUUAUUUCCCCUAAUGUGGGAAGCUCCGCUGUAUAACUUGUAGUAAUGACUCAGAAGUUAA